Molecule: ribosomal RNA, 497 nt
Filed under: uncultured bacterium
Lineage: Bacteria
Description: partial 16S ribosomal RNA
Rfam family: Bacterial small subunit ribosomal RNA
Source: RNAcentral
GAUGAACGCUGGCGGCGUGCCUAAUACAUGCAAGUCGAGCGAACGGACGAUAAGCUUGCUUCUCUGAUGUUAGCGGCGGACGGGUGAGUAACACGUGGAUAACCUACCUAUAAGACUGGGAUAACUUCGGGAAACCGGAGCUAAUACCGGAUAAUAUUUUGAACCGCAUUGUUCAAAAGUGAAAGACGGUCUUGCUGUCACUUAUAGAUGGAUCCGCGCUGCAUUAGCUAGUUGGUAAGGUAACGGCUUACCAAGGCAACGAUGCAUAGCCGACCUGAGGGGGUGAUCGGCCACACUGGAACUGAGACACGGUCCAGACUACUACGGGAGGCAGCAGUAGGGAAUCUUCCGCAAUGGGCGAAAGCAUGACGGAGCAACGCCGAGUGAGUGAUGACGGUCUUCGGAUCGUAAAACUCUGUUAUUAGGGAAGAACAUCUGUGUAAGUAACUGUGCACAUCUUGACGGUACCUAAUAAGAAAGCAACGGCUAACUACGUG